Molecule: ribosomal RNA, 229 nt
Filed under: uncultured bacterium
Lineage: Bacteria
Description: partial 16S ribosomal RNA
Rfam family: Bacterial small subunit ribosomal RNA
Source: RNAcentral
UACGUAGGCGGAAUAUUAAGUCGGUGGUGAAAUCCUGCGGCUCAACCGUAGAACUGCCAUUGAUACUGAUAUUCUUGAAUGUAGUUGAGGUAGGCGGAAUGUGUAAUGUAGCGGUGAAAUGCUUAGAUAUUACACAGAACACCGAUUGCGAAGGCAGCUUACUAAACUAUGAUUGACGCUGAUGUACGAAAGCGUGGGGAGCGAACAGGAUUAGAUACCCUGGUAGUCC